GACGAACGCUGGCGGCGUGCCUAAUACAUGCAAGUAGAACGCACAGUUUAUACCGUAGCUUGCUACACAAUAGACUGUGAGUUGCGAACGGGUGAGUAACGCGUAGGUAACCUGCCUGGUAGCGGGGGAUAACUAUUGGAAACGAUAGCUAAUACCGCAUAAUAUUAAUUAUUGCAUGAUAAUUAAUCGAAAGGUGCAAUAGCACCACUACCAGAUGGACCUGCGUCUUAUUAGCAAGUAGGGGAAGUAACGGCGCACCUAGGCGACGACAGAUAACCGACCAGUGGGGGGAGUCCGCCGCACUGGGACGGAAACACAGCCCAUAACUCUUCAGGAAGCAACAGUAAGGAAUCAUGAGCAAUGGACGAAAGUCUGACCGCGCAAACCCGCAUGAGUGAAUGAGGGUUUCCGAUCGUAAAGAUCUGUUGAGAGAGAAGAACGGAAGUGAGAGUGAAACGUUCACCCUUUGACGGUAGCUAACCAGAAAGGGACGGCUAACUACGUG
RNAcentral lists this ribosomal RNA (505 nucleotides) under uncultured bacterium. RNAcentral describes it as "partial 16S ribosomal RNA". It matches the Rfam family "Bacterial small subunit ribosomal RNA", at positions 28 to 507 of the family's 1533-position model. The record is from RNAcentral.